Molecule: ribosomal RNA, 775 nt
Filed under: uncultured Neocallimastigales
Lineage: Eukaryota; Fungi; Neocallimastigomycota; Neocallimastigomycetes; Neocallimastigales
Description: partial large subunit ribosomal RNA
Rfam family: Eukaryotic large subunit ribosomal RNA
Source: RNAcentral
GAGACUCUGUGCGCGUGCAUAUCAAUAAGCGGAGGAAAAGAAACUAACAAGGAUUCCCCUAGUAACGGCGAGUGAAGCGGGAAGAGCUCAAAUUUGAAAUCUUAAAGGGUUUCCCUUUACGAAUUGUAGUUUAAAGAAGUGUUUUCUGUUGGAGUUUCGGUAAAAGUUCUUUGGAAUAGGACAUCAUAGAGGGUGAGAAUCCCGUAUUUGACCGUUACUUUCCAGCUGUGUGAUACACUUUCAAAGAGUCGGAUUGUUUGGGAAUGCAGUCCAAGAUGGGUGGUAAAUUUCAUCUAUAGCUAAAUAUUGGCGAGAGACCGAUAGCGAACAAGUACCGUGAGGGAAAGAUGAAAAGAACUUUGAAAAGAGAGUUAAACAGUAUCGUGAAAUUGUCAAAAGGGAAGCGUUUGACACCAGUGUUGUUUAGUCGAAAAUCAAUUAAAAAUGGCCGGAUUUUGUGUUGUAUUGACUUUAUCAGCUUUCUGCACUUUUUUCUUGUCUUUUUUAAUGCACUUUUCGUUUAACAAGUCAACAUCAAUUUCUUUGUUGUAAAAGAGUCAUUGGAAGGUGGCUUUCAUUUCGGUGAAAGUGUUUAUAGCCUUUGACUUCUGCAAUCGGAGAGAUUGAGGUCUGCAGCGUAGAUCCUUCGGGGUUAGAUACAUUGGUGCUAAGCUAUAGCCUUGUAUAGACAACUUGUUGACUAUGCUCAGUCAUGUAGCUUACUCGCUGAUGCUAUUUUACCUACGCUUAGGAUGUUGACAGCAGUAUAGACUGU